AUCAAUGGAUGGAAAAUGUAACAGAUGUAUUAUUUUGAAAUAAAAUAGUACGUGAGAUAUGAAAAUGAAAUGUUUUAAAGAUGUUGUAUGAGGUUGUAAUAGAUCUCAAACCUGAGGGAUUAUAUGUAAUUUACCUUUUUUUUUUUUUUAGGUAGACAAUAGUUUAAAUAUGAUACUCACAGCACCACACCUGCGUUACUCAUACUGUUCUGCCAAUCACACUGAAAAUUCACGUGAGAUGGCGUGGUAAUUUGCCGCUAAAGCAACCCUAUUUUGAUGUCCAACUAGGCAGGGGCCCUCAGUUUCUUCACUCAAUAAACAAAACUGAUGUGGAGUUAAGCAUUGUGGCUUCCUUGUGGCCUUAAUUUGCCACGAGAUUUAGUGGCAGCAGUGGCAUCCUAAUUUUAAUGAACCGUCAUUUAGUUAUGCGUAACAUGCACGAUGCAUUCAUCCACUUAUACUGUAGUGGGUGGAGAGAUUGUGGUUUGCGCAUUCAUCUCUAUUCCUUUUGUUAUGUGAACAUGCAUCUUGGAACAAAAA
This 540-nucleotide long non-coding RNA is filed under the name Malus domestica (apple). RNAcentral's name for it is "long non-coding RNA (MDOM_LNC000416)". Lineage: Eukaryota; Viridiplantae; Streptophyta; Magnoliopsida; Rosales; Rosaceae. The record is from RNAcentral.